Molecule: ribosomal RNA, 1947 nt
Filed under: Triticum aestivum (bread wheat)
Lineage: Eukaryota; Viridiplantae; Streptophyta; Magnoliopsida; Poales; Poaceae
Description: partial small subunit ribosomal RNA
Source: RNAcentral
AUGAUGAUGCCCCUGACGCGGCGGCGGCUGCUGGCCACGCUGCUCUGCCUGUGCGCGCUCCCCUCCCCGGCGCGGUCCCAGAACGCGAGCGCCACGCCGGCGCCGGCCAGCGUGGAGGGGUUCAACUGCUCCGCCAACGGCACCUACCCGUGCCAGGCCUACGCGCUGUACCGGGCAGGCUUCGCCGGGGUGCCGCUCGACCUCGCGGCGGUGGGCGACCUCUUCGGCGUCAGCCGCUUCAUGCUCGCGCACGCCAACAACCUGUCCACCUCGGCCGCGCCGGCCGCGGGGCAGCCGCUGCUCGUGCCGCUCCAGUGCGGCUGCCCCUCCGGCUCGCCCAACGCCUACGCGCCCACGCAGUACCAGAUCAGCUCCGGCGACACCUUCUGGAUCGUCUCCGUCACCAAGCUGCAGAACCUCACGCAGUACCAGGCCGUGGAGCGCGUCAACCCCACGGUGGUGCCCACCAAGCUCGAGGUCGCCGACAUGGUCACGUUCCCCAUCUUCUGCCAGUGCCCCACCGCCGCCCAGAACGCCACCGCGCUCGUCACCUACGUGAUGCAGCAGGGCGACACCUACGCCUCCAUCGCCGCCGCCUUCGCCGUCGACGCGCAGUCCCUCGUCUCCCUCAACGGGCCCGAGCGGGGCACGCAGCUAUUCUCCGAGAUACUAGUGCCGCUCCGUCGGAAGGUGCCGCAGUGGCUGCCGCCAAUCGUGACCCGCAACGACGUGCCGGCCACGCCGCCGUCCCCGCCGCCUACCGCGACGCCCGGCCCAAGCGACGUGGCCGACAACCGAGGCGGGGUGGUCACCGGGCUGGCCGUCGGGUUGGGCGUGGUCGGCGGGCUUUGGCUGCUGCAGCUGCUGCUGCUGGGCUGCCUGUGGAGGCGGCUCAAGGCGACGGGGCGGCGAGGGGACGCGGUGGCGAGCGGCGAGGGCGGCGAGGGCGGCAGGUCUGGCAAGAGCGCGUCCGGCUCCGGCGGCGUGGGAGGGGAGAGAUUCCUAGUGAGUGACAUAUCCGAGUGGCUGGACAAGUACAGGGUGUUCAAGGUGGAGGAGCUGGAGCGCGGCACCGACGGGUUCGACGACGCGCACCUCAUCCAGGGCAGCGUGUACAAGGCCAACAUCGGCGGCGAGGUCUUCGCCGUGAAGAAGAUGAAGUGGGAUGCCUGCGAGGAGCUCAAGAUCCUGCAGAAGGUGAACCACAGCAACCUGGUGAAGCUGGAGGGGUUCUGCAUCAACACGGCGACGGGCGACUGCUUCCUGGUGUACGAGUACGUGGAGAACGGGUCCCUGGACCUGUGCCUGCUGGACCGCGCGCGGGCGCGGCGGCUGGACUGGCGCACGCGGCUCCACAUCGCGCUGGACCUCGCCCACGGCCUCCAGUACAUCCACGAGCACACCUGGCCGCGCGUGGUGCACAAGGACGUCAAGAGCAGCAACGUGCUCCUGGACGCCCGCAUGCGCGCCAAGAUCGCCAACUUCGGCCUCGCCAAGACCGGCCACAACGCGGUCACCACCCACAUCGUGGGCACGCAGGGCUACAUCGCGCCCGAGUACCUCGUCGACGGCCUCGUCACCACCAAGAUGGACGUCUUCGCCUACGGCGUCGUCCUGCUCGAGCUCGUCUCCGGCCGCGAGGCCGCCGGCGACGGCGGCGAGCUGCUGCUGCCCGACGCGGAGGAGAGGGUGUUCCGCGGCCGGGAGGACCGGCUGGAGGCGCGCGCGGCCGCGUGGAUGGACCCCGUGCUCGCCGACCAGAACUGCCCGCCGGGGAGCGUGGCCACCGUCAUGGGCGUGGCCAGGGCGUGCCUGCAGCGGGACCCGGCCAAGCGGCCGAGCAUGGUGGACGUGGCCUACACCCUGUCCAGGGCGGACGAGUACUUCGCGGACUACUCCGGCGAGAGCGUGUCCGUGGAUGGCAGCGGCGAGAUCGCCGCGCGGUGA